Molecule: transfer RNA, 72 nt
Filed under: Pangasianodon gigas (Mekong giant catfish)
Lineage: Eukaryota; Metazoa; Chordata; Actinopteri; Siluriformes; Pangasiidae
Description: tRNA-Glu
Rfam family: tRNA
About the family: Transfer RNA (tRNA) molecules are approximately 80 nucleotides in length. Their secondary structure includes four short double-helical elements and three loops (D, anti-codon, and T loops).
Source: RNAcentral
UCCCUGGAGGACUAGUGGUUAGGCCUCAGCGCUCUCAAUACUGCGGCCCGGGUUCGAUUCCUGGCCAGGGAA